Molecule: ribosomal RNA, 434 nt
Filed under: uncultured Pseudobutyrivibrio sp.
Lineage: Bacteria; Bacillati; Bacillota; Clostridia; Lachnospirales; Lachnospiraceae
Description: partial 16S ribosomal RNA
Rfam family: Bacterial small subunit ribosomal RNA
Source: RNAcentral
ACGGAAGGCAGCAGUGGGGAAUAUUGCACAAUGGGCGCAAGCCUGAUGCAGCGACGCCGCGUGAGCGAAGAAGUAUUUCGGUAUGUAAAGCUCUAUCAGCAGGGAAGAUAAUGACGGUACCUGACUAAGAAGCACCGGCUAAAUACGUGCCAGCAGCCGCGGUAAUACGUAUGGUGCAAGCGUUAUCCGGAUUUACUGGGUGUAAAGGGAGCGUAGGCGGUUUUACAAGUCUGAUGUGAAAGCCCGGGGCUCAACUCCGGUAUUGCAUUGGAAACUGUAGAACUAGAGUGUCGGAGGGGUAAGUGGAAUUCCUAGUGUAGCGGUGAAAUGCGUAGAUAUUAGGAGGAACACCAGUGGCGAAGGCGGCUUACUGGACGAUUACUGACGCUGAGGCUCGAAAGCGUGGGGAGCAAACAGAAUUAGAUACCCUGGUA